UACGAAGGGGGCUAGCGUUGUUCGGAUUUACUGGGCGUAAAGCGCGUGUAGGCGGGUCGUUAAGUUGGGGGUGAAAUCCUGGAGCUCAACUCCAGAACUGCCUUUGAUACUGAGGAUCUUGAGUUCGGGAGAGGUGAGUGGAACUGCGAGUGUAGAGGUGAAAUUCGUAGAUAUUCGCAGGAACACCAGUGGCGAAGGCGGCUCACUGGCCCGAUACUGACGCUGAGGCACGAAAGCGUGGGGAGCAAACAGG
RNAcentral lists this ribosomal RNA (253 nucleotides) under uncultured bacterium. Its description in RNAcentral is "partial 16S ribosomal RNA". It matches the Rfam family "Bacterial small subunit ribosomal RNA", at positions 524 to 776 of the family's 1533-position model. The record is from RNAcentral.